UGUAAAUUGGUGUAAAGGCACAUGAAAUUUUGAUUUUCGUAGGGUUGGUGUAAUUCCAUUAUUUGCAU
Molecule: transfer RNA, 68 nt
Filed under: Typhlatya galapagensis
Lineage: Eukaryota; Metazoa; Arthropoda; Malacostraca; Decapoda; Atyidae
Description: tRNA-Gln
Source: RNAcentral